AAGUCUAAGUUGUUAACGGAUACGAUAUGGGAAGGUUGAGCUGCUGUUUAUCUGUUCCUAGAGAUGCUAGAAUUAUAGAGAAUUUUAUCUUUUAAAAUCUUUAAAAUAGCACAUGAUGAGUUCCUGUAUGAUGAGAGUUUAAAUUCCUACCACAGCCAUAUAAACAUGCUUGCUAGACUUUGAGCCACACAUUCACUUUUUACUGCUUAUGAGCAUUGAGUGUGGUCAAGCUGUGUAGACCCUUAGGAGCUUGUCAUGUGGUUAAAUCAAGAUUCACUUGCACAUUCACUCACACAUGCUGCUUCUACUCCGGAAGUACGCAUCCACAUAUAUCCACCCAUUUCCAUCUCCAGAAUCCUAAAAAUAUUCUACUCCUAAUCUGGGAGAGAAUAGCCAAAAACAUUUCUGUUUUUCCCCUGUGAAAUAAAUGCUCAACUUAUCUUGGUUACUACCACUUGCUAUAUUAUCUCAUGAAAUGAGUGCUCUAAAAAAAGAAGAAAAUACGAGGAAAUAAAAAGGGGCAAGUGCCCGGAACCUCUAAUAAAAGAAAAAGUGAGAUGAGAGGUAUAAAUAGACAAGUGUCCGACAGUAGAAUUAGGAGUACAAAAUACCCACCUGAGAGAAAAGAAAAAGAAAAUAUAGAGCAUCUCAUUCUCCUAGAAAAGUUUCAAAAGAGCAAGGAAGGUAUGUAUCCCCUCAAAAGAGCAAAAGUAGAAUUAGACUUUCACCAUUGUUAUCACCAUCAUCACCAUAUACCAUUUAUUCACCACACAUGCACAUCUUGAUUUGACUUAUUGGCUUGUUUCUUUCGAUCCAUGGGUUGACUAUGCAAUAAAUGUCUUGUAAGUAUGUAUACUUUAUCUCCCACCUAUGAGCUCCAGAUAUCAAAAGCUUUAUUAGAGUAGGGUGAGAGAGAAGGCAAUGUUACUAUGCCUUAUACCACAAAUACUACAUAUUUUGAGAGAAGGCAUAUACCAUCACUGCCUUGGUAAGGAUCCAGAAAUACCACAAAAGAAAGAUUUGAGAGAAUCAUACAAGGAAUCUCUGAGUUUUAUUUGAAAAUCUGCAAAAACUCCAGAGCUAUAGCUGAUCAAGAAUAAGAGACAUGGCACUUGAUUAGACCAUUCUAUCUUUUAACUACUCAAGACAGAAGUGACGGUUACAAGUCCCAUGGUGAAAGGUAAAGUAAGUAAGUUUUAAGUCUUGAUAGUUUACUCUAACUCAGUGAUGAGAUCUUAUUUAAAAGCAUGUGUACCGUCAACUUUUAAAGGCAUUUCAACAACUUCUAAUCCAUCGCUGAGAUUAUCCUUGCUCAGGGACGAGCAAGAGGUAAGCUUUGGGGAGUUUGUUGACGGUCCUUAAGUAUCAAAUUUAAUUAUCAAAUAAAUAAAGAAAAGGAUCUAAAUGCAAUCAACAUCUAGACUUAGGGUUUUAUCUGACAGAAUUCCACGAGUUUUGGUGUUUGUCUAUUUCAGCAGGGGGUUAUCAGGAAAUACGGAAGAAAGGCCCACUCGUCGGGAUUACAUAGAGAUAUUAACAAGCCGCAAAAUUAUCUUACAUCUAGAAAGUCCAGAAGCCACGGGAACGAACGGGAGACUGGAUGGGCUCAGGGGCAGGGCGCCCGCCCUCCCACCUUGGGCACCCGCCCUGGCCAGGAGUCCAAUCAGAACUCUCUUUCGGGAUUACGCUCCACCGACCUAAAGGAUCAAGGAUAACCGUUCAAUCAAUGUCAGUUUGAUCCGAUGGCCCAUAUUCACUAGGAGGGACUAUAAAACCAGAACCCCUGGCCCCUGGAGGAGAGAGCUCUCAACCCUAAUUCAUUAUUCAUCAAGGGAGAAGAAGCCUCUGAUCAAGCCUAGAGCCACCACAUCAAUUAUACAUCUAGAUUAGCAUAGAUACAUAGGAUUAGAACUAGAAGGAGUCAAUCUUUGAUUGGUUUCUAGAUCUGUCAAGAGGAUUCUUGGUAAUUCUCUAAUUGUUCUUCUAAUUGUUCAUCUUUGUUCUUCAAUAUUAUGAAUAUGACUUUGUUCUACAUCAAUAUAUUUCUUAUGACUUUGCUCUACUUGUUUACAUUCGCAAUUAUAUUGUUCUUAGUUUAUCAUAGUUGUAUACUUGGCUUAGUUAGAUUGGAAUUAUAUACAUGUUUAGGAUCGUAUAGCGUUUAUCCAUCGGAUCCAUGGGUAAGUGAUAGAUAUUGUGUAGGCGUGGUGCUCAUACCGUAUUUAUCUGCGAUUGUACCCUAUAUGCCAGAUCGUGGGGUAGUUCGUGAUAGUGACAGCUUCAUUGAUUCUUAUAUAGUCCCCCUGUUGUGUAUAUUGCUGGCAGAGCAACAUUAUUACAGGGAGUGAUUGCUAUGUUUCUCAUUUACCUUGAUAAUAUCAAUAUGCAUGGGCAUAAUCUUGUCUCACAAUGAUUGCUAAGUAUAAUUGCACUAACUAUGAUAUGCUAGACUGUAUAGUUAAGAAUAACUUAGGAAAUAUUCUUGUAGUUCGUUCUAAUUCCAUGCUAAUGACUUCCUAGAAUAUCUAAUUGAGGUGCUUAUGAUAUUUAUAUGUGGCUAAGUUAUGCUGAUCAUAUUAAUUAUCUUUGUCACUAUUCAUCACUUUAUAUAUCCUUUAUGUGACACUUAUCCCUGUAUGAAAGAGUUAGAUAAAUGUUCUCAAUUAUACAUGCAAUGAUAGAUACUCAAUCUUAUAUUCCAUUCUAUAAUCUACACUGAUGAUUACUAAUCCCUUCCUAGUGGUAAAAAUAUAAUUAACGAUACCUGGAAUACUUCCCGGUUAAAAUGCUACAUCGGUAUUAAUCUGUGCGCUUACAGAUCCCAUUUGUUAUUUAUUUGGAUCAGCAAUUGCAUAUUUCAAUACCGCGUCUCUUAUGUCUUGCUGGGGAUGACAACUUGGCUUAAGUGGCAUGAGGGAUAGGUUUGGCAUUUUUGGCACCGUUAUCAGAAUUAGAAAACUAAGUCUACUUUUGGUAAUGAUGUUAAGAAUACCCAACACAUCUCUUGAUAGGCCUCUCGGGCAGAGGCAAGGUCCGCCUUGAUGAGGCCCUUCUCCUUGUCAAGCUCGACGGCCGCGUCCUUGUAAAAAAUGGCCUCUUCCCGGGCCUUGGACGCAGCCUUCUCAGCCGUCAUGGUCCGCUCCCUUAGCUACACGGUUUCUUCUAUCGCCUUCUCUGAGGCAUCCCGAGCUUUGGUCAGGGUGGCCUCCCUCUCCUUCUUCUCCUCCUCAAGCGCCACGAGCUCCUUGUAGGCCUUGAGAAGCUUCUCCUGCGACUCCAGGAGUUUGUCCUUGAGAAGAGGGAGUUGUUCCCAGCCACCUCUUGUCGCAUGGAUAAAGCCCGACUUUAGGCGGGAGGUCUCCUUCAGGUCCUGCGACGAGUAGCCGAUCGAUGAGAACGCAAUACCAAACUCCUAGAUAGCUAAGGACCAAAAAUACUUACGAAGAAGGCUCGGCCAAGCCCGUUGUUGACAAUAUCCGACAUCAGGCCCACCACAUGCUUCAUCUAAAGCCGGAGCUCCUCAAGAUGCUCCCACUUCUUAGCUUCCUUCUGAUCGUCCAUAAAGAUGUUGGGCUCCGAUGGAUCGGUGGAAGCUCGAAGACGAAUCCGACCGGGGCCCCAAUUCUCCAUCUCCUCCUCUGUACGUGCAUUGAUGCCAUGGAUUAGCUCUUGAAUGGUCUCGAGCGAGCGUCCGUGGCGCAGGAAUUUGUCGACGAGAGAAGGGAACCGCCCGUCGUCAUCGACCGAACCCCAUGUCCUAGUCUCAUUGGCGUCGCCACUGCCGGAAGUGCCAGCCUCGUCCCCCUCCUCGGCGAUGGGUUCCUCCCAUGGCCGCCGGUCUCGGAGGAACCCCAGGGCAAGCCCGUCCAUGCCAUAGAGGGAGCCCUUGAUCUUUGAUUGAGGGUCCACAGGCGUGCGCAUUCUACACGCGAUAGCCACGACGCCGUCCUCCCACUUAAGUCAGCCGGGAUGGAGACUGGCCCCCCUAGACGGAGCCACGCAGGGGUCGGCGGGCCGUAGACCGGCAGCUCCUCCUCUCCGGUCCCAGGCCUCGGCGGCAACGGUAGUUUUGGCUAGGGUGGGCUUCGUGGUGGCGGUUCGAGCAGCUCUUCCAGCUGCUGACUCCCCUGAUGUUGCUGCCUCUGAAGCUCCAGCAGCUCUUGCUGCCGGUGUUGUUCCAAUAGCCCCUCGAGCUGCUCUCCCUGUUGCCGCUGCCUCUCUUCUCAUUCUUCUUCUUCCCGUCGCCACUGUUGUUGCUCCUCCUGCAGCUGUAGCUAUGGCUCCCGCUCGCGCUCUUCUUCCUCCUUCUUCCUCCUCUCCUCGACGGAGUGAAGCCCGAUGGGCCAUGGGGUCCGCUUCCCAAUGAGAGAAGUCCCGACCUCCUCGCCUGCAGAACAGACCUCCCUCGAGAGCCAAUCGUCGCCGGACCCGUCGCUUAUGGUGAUGGGAUCCCCCAUGCCCCCAGACUGGGGAGGCUCGGGGGCUCCCUCCUGCUCCAGAAGGCGAGGUGUCUCGACCUGCUUCGGUGGCGGGGACUGGGGAGGCUCGGGGGCUCCCUCCUGCUCUUGAGGGUGGGGCGUCUCGACCCGCCUUGGUGAUGGCGGGGCGGUCUCCUCCACCAAUGGACGAGGUGGGGUAUUCUCAACAUCCGUCGGUGGCCGAGGAUCGAAAGAACCUGUGAGCACUCAAAAACGAUACGUCAGUCGCAAAGAAGCUCGAUGCGAGAAUCACCUAGCUCCGAUAUUGCUGAAAGGAGAAUCAACCACUCACCCAAGCCUUUGGGAACCACCCCCACCUUCAGCUUCUUGGCCAUCGAGGGUUGGGCCUGUUCCAGUGGCCGUUUCAACCUGAGGAAAGGGGAAUAACAUAAGAAAAGUCGUAGCCCGAUAAUGCGCAAAGACAUCAGAAAACAAGAAUCACGACGUUAAGAUCUUACCCCACAGGAAGAGCGACACACCUGCCAGUGCCUCGACCGACUGGUCUCGAGCCGCCCCGCGUCGAGACUCCGGGCCUCUCAUAGGCAGGCGCAGGCCUCAGCUCAAUGUCUCCCGACUAGCGAGCGCCAGGGCCGGAGCUCCCACGACCCACUUCCCCCUGACUCGAGGCCGCCACGGCGGCACGGCCACGAGUCAGUGGCCCCGUCGCCAUAGUCUUAACCCGUUGGCCCGUCCUAGGCGCGGAAGGAGGUGGGGGCCGAGAAACGGCCCGACCCGGCACAGGCGCGGGAGGGGUGUCGGCGCGAGAACGGCUCGGUGAGGACGCCCUCUGUUGAUCAUCAUGGGGCCCGCCCGACGCCCCCUUAGGGGCUCCCAUCCACAGGACGUCGACAUCGGCUUGCGGCGGGCCCUCGAGGAUUUUGUCGAGACGAGCCGCCAUCCCCCCGGAAUCGUCGCUAUCAUCAUCACCGUCGUUGCCGUCGUCUUCCUCAAGAGAAUCCUCCUCGGGCUCCCCCUUCUGCCUCGACUUCGCGCGGCGUUUCUCGAGCGCUUGCCGCUCGAGGUUCUUUUUCUUCUCCUUCUUCUUCUCGAAGUCCUUUAUGGACUUUAGUUUCUCCGCGGACUCACGCCUCCUAUCUCGAUCAGCGUCGUCCUCCUUUACUGGAGGCCUCGAGGAUCAAGCGUCGAUCGAGCCCUGUAAAAACGGAAGUAAGUCUCGGAAAAAGACGGAAGAAUAAAAAAUCGGGCAAUUGCAAAGAAAGGCUCACCAGGUCAAUCGACCCCUCGUCAGGCUUCAUGGGGAAGCCGUUGACGUGCCCAGGCUGAAAAUCGCCUACGAAGGCCGCCCUGACUCUAGCAGCAACCUCGUCAUCCGCAGGCGCCUCGUUGGACAUCUGACAUGCCUCGAGGUCGCGAGAUGAAACACCGGGACCCAUCUCGUCCAUCCUCAGCGGCCGAGACAUCAACGGGAGUACCCGUCGAUGGUGGACGGCAGAAAGGACGAACGCGGCGGUCAGGCCUUUCUCGCACAGAUUCUUCGGGGCGUCGAGGAUGAGUCGGAGCUGCGACUGGUGGGUCUAGACGAUGCCAUAUUUCUAGUGGUCCGGACGCUUCGAAAUCAAGCACUCGGUGUAGGCGGGGAAGAUGUCGUUGUCGUUCCGCAGGUAGAACCACUAGAAGUCCUACCCGGCGUGGUUUGACGUUAGCCCCACCGGGAUGUACUCUCAAGGCUCCUCCGCCUUGCCGGUCUUCAGCAUCAGGUUGAGGCAGCCGGCCCGCAUCGGCUUCCUCACCCCUCUGGACCCACCGGGGGCGUGGAAGAGCUCGCCCCGGUAUAGGUGGAGCCACAGGUCCCAAUGCGGCAUCAUCCCCAGGUAGCCCUCACACACCGCAGCAAAAAUCGCCGUGGUGGUGAUGGCGUUCGGCGAAAAGUGUUGGAGCUCCACACCGUAGUUGUGGCAGAGCGCCUGCAUGAAGCGGCUCAGGGGGAACCUAGGCCGUGGCGGUGGAACUUGGCAAAGGAGACCACGUACCCCUUGGGCGGUCUCGAUUCCCGGUGGUCCACCGCCGGCGCGAUCCACUCUGACUGCGACGAGAAAACGUGGGGGCGCAGGAGCCCCUCCUUCUCGAGCUCCAGUAGUCGGCGCUCCGUCAUCUAUUGUGGCAGAACCUCCUGAAUUAAGUGGCCCACAUACACCCAUCGUUGUCUCAAAGACUUCCAAUCGGCGUGUACGAGUUCCAAAUGAUUCAAGAAGUCUGUCGGGUGUCCUCGGGAAACCCGAAUCAUCCACGUUACAUUCUUUUCAGGAAUUCCCUCAUCAAGCGUCACAGUAUUACAACAUUUCAUGGAUAAGAGAGAUCAGAGUAAAAGCGGAAAGGUUAUAUAACAUAGUUUGAAACUUAAGUUCAACGGUUACAAACCAUAAGUAUUUAGUACAUAAAAGGUUCGGAACUUAUUAUUACAUAAACCAUAGAUCACACAACAAGUUUUUACUUGCCCAAGGUCACACAUCAGGUUCAUCAUCAUCACUCUCCUCCACAAGAGUAAAGUAACCAUGACCAUCAAAGGGAUUAUCAAAAGGCUCACCUGCAACAUGGGUUAAUAAACCCUGAGUACAAAAGUACUCAACAAGACUUAACCGACUAGAAAAGAGGUGAAGACUCAGGUAUGCAGGCUAUAGGGAUUCAAGGUAAAGCUUUAGCAAGAUCAAAGCAUUUCUUUUGCAUAAAAGCUUACUAAGAGUAAAACCUACUUUCAAGUUUUCACUCAAGAUUAUCAUUUAUAACUAACCAAGAUCAUCAUCAAACUUUCAUAAGCAAGUCAUCUCUUUCUUAUACCAAAGAUUCACUUAUUACUACGAUGAUGGGGUGAGGAUUGAGGCUCCAUAUCCGAGGAAACACGGCGAUUCGAAUCGAUUAAACCCAGCUGGGGAUUCAGUACCACACGACAUAUGUAGAACUUAAUCUUGCAUAUGUCAACCUUUUCUAUAGAUCCUCCCAUACAAGAACGGGUCCAGCGUCACCCAAGAGUACAGUACACCACCAUCCUACAGCCAAUCUAGAUGUUUCCCGGUCAUCUCAGAUCCGUAAGGUGGGUACACGCUACUCUCACCAUCUCUCCACUCCCAGUACGCGGUUAGCCGUUCUCAAGUAUCGGAAUAGCUAUAGGUAAGGCUUACCACCGCAUGUGGGCUGUACUCAAAGGUCUCAAUCACAACAGGCCAACAACGGUACGGUCCUUAAUCGACACAGUUGGAGACACUACUUUAAGACUCCAUUCUUAAAGCAAGUCCACCGACCGGUCUCAAGUUGAAACAUUAUUGACCAUAAAAGUAUUCCACAACACCCUUCAAACUUUCUCAUUUGAAAACCUAUCUAAUAAGCAGGGCUAAGCAUACUAAGUAUUUUCAUAAAACAAGUAUCAAGGUUAAUAUUGAAAUCAUCAAGGUAGAUAAUGCAGCAAAUAGGAUUCACUCAACUCCUAUUCACCUAAUGCAUCAUAUUAACUCAAGUGAUAUAAAUAACUUUAUGAAAAUACAAGGAUAGGAUUUAAUGUCCGGGGCUUGCCUUGACCGGAAGGGACGUUCGAUAACUCAGCAAAACCCGAAGGAUCCACAAACUCGGAAGCAACCCACUGAGGAUCAGAUUCUUCCGGAGUGUAUUCUAUACGUAAAAGUGCAUAUGCAUGAUUAUGCUAUACUCAAGGCAUGAUAAAGACAGGUUACAUGUUCUUGGAUGAUAACAACAAAAAUAUGAUUACCUCGAGUACAAUUUACCUUCAUGGUAAAGAAACAAACUAAUCUAGCUAUCAAAGCAUGGAUUAUUACUAAACCAAUUUUAUCAUCUUUAUUAAGCAAUGUUGUGGACCUAUCAUAUCACAAGGAUCAUUUACAUGAUUAAACCAUAACCAGGGAGCAUAUCAUGCUAAGUAACCACUGGUUGCCAAUCAAUCCAAAAUAUCACACAAAGCCUAAAGGAAUAAUUAUUUCUAUUUCUUUUAUAAUUAUUUUAAAUAGCUUUAUUAAGAGACAGAGCAUACUUUAUCAAACAGAGCUGAAAUUAUUCUUGAAGCUAGAUAACAGUAACAUAAGAUCAUAUAUUAAAUUUCAUGAUUUUUGGAUAUACCCAUAAUUUACUAAAAAUCAUGGAAGGUUUAUUCAUUAAUAAACAGAGGCAAUUUAUAGAUACAUGCAAACUAUCAUAAAAUAAAAUUUAAUAUUUUUCCUACACUCUUUACAUUCUCUGGAACCCACACAAAAAUUUUCAUAAUUUUUGGAUCAGCAGAUAAUUUAUUAUACAAAAUUAAACAUACAUAUCAUAAAUUGCACAAAAGAAAAAGAAAAGAACACUGCACAGUGGACGGACCGGAAGCUGGGCCGCAGGCCGGCCCAUUCCAACUCGGCCCGCGCGAACACUGCGCGCGCCUCCCUUUCUCUCAGCGUGGUCACUGACAGGUAGACCCCACCUGUCAGUUCCAUCCCCUACACGCGCGGCGGCUCGGCCGCGACUCCGGCCACCGCGGGCGAGGGUUUCAGCCGGAGUGCGUGUGCGCAUCGGCUUCACCUCAACUCCGCGACUCCAUUGGUACCACUCGCAGACGCUCUACCUCAUUGCUACUACCUCGGCCACGAUAAGAGCGGGCGGACGCCAUGGCCGACUGUCGGCCGGCCACUAGGGCCCGGUAGAGAACAAACGAAAGGAACAGAGAGGUUCGGGGUGGGUGGAGGAGCACGGUGCUCACGUUGCGGGACUCGGGAAGGUAGCGGAAGCUUGGGACGACGGAGGCGGUGCCGUUGGCGGAUGAUCCGAGCUCGGUGAGAUUGUUCCGACGAUCCUGCUCGCGCCCAAAGGAAAAAAUAGAGAGAGCAUGAGUUGCAGGACAGCAAGGCGAAACUCCGACGCCCCUCACCUUGACUCAAAACCUUACGGGAUGGUCUGGCCACGACGAAGUGCCCACGGCGGCGCUCUGUCACCGGCGGGGAGAAAGACGACGAACGCCGGGGCUCUGGUGCGAUAGAGAUAGGAAGGAUAGGUUCGGAAGGUGCGCAAGGAAGUAACCACUUUAUGUCCUCGGUGAAUUUGGAUGAGGAUCACUGGUUACGAUGAAUUCGGAGAUGGACGAGUCGCUGCCCGUCGGUGCUUCGGUGGCCAAACGACGUCGGUGAGCGCGAAAGAAGAAGACACGUCGCGCUCCACUUCGCCAGCAGGUGCUUCACCUUGCCACGGACGCGGACACGCGCUAGGACGGGGUGAAACGGUGGUUCACGCGUUGGCAAACGCCGAUCGACGCUCGGCGGUACACCGCCAUGAACAGGGGCUGGAACUUAACCCCCCCUUACCCAAAAGCCCCUUCUGUCCUUUAGCGAAAAACAACCAAAAUUUGAACAGAAGUCAAAUUUCUGUCAAAAUAAAAGUUGUACAAAAUUUUGUGAGCUACAAAACAUCUUUAAUGACCAAAGACAGAUUUGAAAUGGAAAGGGAUGAAUUUGAGCCAAACAGUUGGAAAUUCAAAACUCAAAUUGGGAAAAAUUCCAAUUUUGAAUUGGGGCAGAUUAGAAAUUCCAAAAUUACUUUUGAUUUUCCAAAACAGCUUGAAAAACUCCCAACAUGAAAGUUGUUCAACUUUUCAAGCCCUACAACUCUCAUGUUGACCAUUUUUCAAAAUGCCAAACAGAUUUUGAAUUGGAGAUUUAAGUUUGAAAAGGGGACACUUUCCGGAAAUCUGUAUUUUCAAAAUUACUUUGAAUUUUGUACUGAAACUUUAAAAACUCAAAACACCAAAGUUGUACAUCUUGACAAGAUCUACAACUUUGCUUUUGAAUUUAACUUCAAAUUUUGCUUGGUUUUUGAUUUGCACAAAAGGGGACAAAUCUAGGGUUUUGAAAACUAGGGUUCCCCCCCUAAGUUUUUCGGAAAAACUUUCACCCAUGGUUUUUAAACUCCAAAACAAGCAUCCAUACAUAAAAUAAGCACACUUUAAAUUCCUAAACACAUUCAUCCAAAAUAAACUUAUUUUAAGUUAAUGCUUCAAAGUUUACGUAACAAUUAAACUAUGCAAUGCUCAUGAUGACAUGUCAUGUUUUAGUUCACUUAACACCAGAGUGUUACAUCGAUGACGGGCGCUAGUCGUCGGCGGCGAUAAGUCUCACCGGCAUGUUGAUGGAAGAAGGGAAGCGGCUCCGCUACUAAGUGAUCGAGGGUGCGCGCGAGAGAGGAGAUGGCAAGGGAAGCAAGGGCGAGAACGAUGACGAAAGGUGGAAGGAGUAAUGGCUGGAAGACCCGACGAUAUUUAUAGACGGCUAACCUCCAAUGGACAAAUCCGACGGAUACGGUAACUUCCCUAAUGAAUGUGCCGCCUAACGGUCCUUAUUUCUCUCGCUGACAGGGCGCUACGAAUUCCACGACGGUACAGUGCUGCAACGGCUCCCGUCUGAAAAGGCACGCCCAACGGGCGAAAAGGCGAACCGCCGCGACCCUUCCUUCAUCUGUAAGACAAGGUACGUACCUGACACGACAAAAAUCUUGAGAGGUCGCAGACUGGCCCGCAGAACGGGUUCGACAGUCGAUCUCGAGUACCAGAGUCAGGGAUGCCCAUCGAAUGUUCGAAAACGAGGCCUCCCUUGAGAACUCGCUGGGGAUGUACAAGGCGAGGAAGAGAGGGUCAAGAGGAAUCCCCACGGAGGGAGGCAACGAGCCGCUGGACUCUAUCGAACGAGACAAGUAUCCUCGAUCACAUUGACCCCACAUUAUGAGAACACCUCCGGGCUGCAGCUGACCCCCUCAAAUGGGGCACAGGUUCUCACUUGGAUCACCCGAUAGGAGCUCGACCUGGGGUAGGUGACGCUUGCUCCACCGGGAGUACGUCCCGACCCCGAUGCGGAACCAGCCGAUCGAGGCCCCAAACCCCUCUUCCGUAGUGAGCAACUUUUGGAGAAGGGGGAAAUCGAGAGCAUCAGGAAAGGCAAAAAAACCCUCGAAGGAGUCAAAGACUCCUCCAAGGGCUCGGGGGCUACCCCCGCGGGGGUCGCUCGCGUGACCCCACAGAAACUCAACCGACGAAAAGAGCCUCUACUCGAGCGCAAGCACUCGAAUAGAGACUCGGGGGCUACUGUCGAGGGUGUCAAUAAGGGAUACCCAAACCAGUGCACAUAACGAGAGGGCCCACAUGUAAAUCGAGGCCCCUGACUCGACGUCCCCCGUUCGCACGUGCGAUUGCCAAAACGCAAUGGCGACCAUAGCCUCAAACACAGAGAAAGGGUCGCGCGAAUUGACCCAGGCUCGACUGAACGACAACCGUCGAAUACGGGGCGGGCUCAUACGAAUCAAUGAGCCUCGAGCCUAAGGACGUCGUUCGCCGCCUGACGCGGGUACGGGAACCAGGGCAUUUAAUGCGCCUGCCGUGUUCUCACCUAACCCAAGAGUCACGGGAAGUGUGAUAGGGAGCAAGCACCCAUCCCAUCACCCUUUUUGCAGCCUUGUCCACCUGAUGAGCCAGAGGAUGGCAGGGCGCAGUGAGACGUUCGAAACGUCAUGUCACGACCCCCCUCGAGACGCCCAAAGUCAGCGCUCCGAUCAGCAGGGCUUUGCAUGGCAUCAGACCCUCGAGUGAACAUGUUCCUCCCCAAAGAAGAGUCAGGCGGUGAAAGACAGCACCACGACCACUCUGCCAUGACUGCAGCCACGACGUACAAGCAUGCCCACGGUUAAGCCAAUCCGGAAUGGCGCGCAAGAGCUAAAUUCAGGGGCACGCGUAAUCAUCACUCGAGUAUUGAGCAACAAGACGGCUCGAGGCCACGUCGGUAUGGAAGCCUCGAGUAGGUCAGCGUACCAUGCCCCUAUCGACCCCUACUCUAUCACCUAUGCCAUGUAACCUAGGUCUCCCCUUGGAACUAUAAAAGGGGAGGCUCGGGAAAGGAUAAGGAGCACGAGACAUACGUAGAAGAACACCCAUACUUCAUCUCCAUCCAUCCACGCAACACUGACUUGUAUUCACCCUUGUACAAGCACUUAGGUGCAAGAUAAUAGAAACAUCUCCCCCCGCUGGACGUAGGGCCUUCUCUUGCCCGAACCAGGAUAAAUCUUUGUGUCUUUCUUGCAUCACCAUCUGGGAAAGAGAACACGCACACAAAUUUCACUCGUUGGUGUGACCCUCCGUGGGGAAAACACCGACAAAGAGAUUUAUUGCAUAUUCAAACCAUGGAUCCAAAGAAACAAGUCAAUAAGUCAAAUCAAGAUGUGCAUGUGUGGCGAAUGAAUGGUGUAUGGUGAUGAUGGUGAUAACAAUGGUGAAAGUCUAAUUCUACUUUUGCUCUAUUGAGGGGAUACAUACCUUUCUUGCUCUUUAGAAACUUUUGAGGAGAAAGAGAUGCUCUAUAUUUUCUUUUUCUUUCCUCUCUGGUGGGUAUCUUGUACCCCUAAUUCUACUGUCGGACACUUGUCCAUUUUUACCUCUCGUCUCACUUUUUCUUUUCUUUCGAGGUUCCGUGUACUUGCCCCUUUUUAUUUCCUCGUAUCCUUUCUUUUUUUCUCUUUUUUUAGAGCACUCAUCUCCUGAAAUAAUAUAGCAAGUGGUAGUAACCAAGAAAACUUGAGCAUUUAUUUCACAGGGAAAAACAAAAAUAGGAGAAUAUUUUUGGCUAUUCUCUCUCGGAUUAGGAGUAGAAUACUUUUAGGUGGUUCUGGAGAUGGAAAUGGGUGGAUAUAUGUGGAUGCGUACUUCCGAGUAGAAGCAACAUGUGAGUGAACGUGCAAGUGAAUCUUGAUUUAACCACAUGACAAGCUUCUAAGGGUCUACACAGCUUAACCACACUCAAUGCUCAUAAGCAGUAAAAAGUAAAUAUGUGGCUCAAAGUCUAGCAAGCAUGUAUAUAUGGCUGUGGUAGGAAUUUAAACUCUCAUCAUACAGGAACUCAUCAUGUGAUAUUUUAAAGAUUUUCAAAGAUAAAAUUCUCCAGAUUUCUAGCAUCUCUAGGAACAGAUAAAUAGCAGCUCAACCUUCACAUAUCAUAUCCGUUAGUAACUUAGACUUCAGAUCAAGUUCUCUUCCCACAAGUUCAGGUUUAGAGCAAGCUUUAAAUUAUAACGAUUAUGUCUAAACUUGAGAGAGAACUUGAAUUUGAAAAAUUAGGCAGAACAACUAUUCAUCAUAUCCAUGCUAUAGUUUUAUUAAGAUUCAGUUUAGCAUAGCCACUUUAUUUAUUUAUUUAUUUAUUUAUUUAUUAAGCACACUAAGCAAAAGAUAUAUAAGCACAAAAUCUUUAUUAGGUUUUUUCAUGGUUAUGUAUAUUUUUAUUUUAAUAUAGUAUAAGUAUAAAUGUAGAUAUAAAUACUUAGCGGGAUAAAUGGGGGUGCUCUCCCCUAAGCUGGAUUUUGACGUAAUUUCUUCUGAUGUAGCUAGCAGGUGGUGGAGGUGUAUUUGAAAGUUGGCAGCACCCUGAUAGCGAUUAGAAUGUCCUCCGUCUGCUAGUAUUCUUGAUCCUUGAAUUCUGUGGAGCUCAAAUAGACAACAAAGCUUUGUGUAACUGAUUAAGUGUUAGCAUAAAUAUCUUAGCCUUUAUCAUGUUGAGCUUCCUCAAUAAAUGCUACUUUCUUUAGUAGGAUCACAAUUUUAUUUUUAUGUUUUCAUUUUUUUAUAGAACAGAACAAUUUAUUAUUAUGUUUUUAUGCCACCACCAUGAAUAUAUUUAUGGGUUUUAUGCCACUUGUAUACUCACAUGGGGCUUACUGGUUUUAACAUUUUUAUUUUCUUUUUAGGAUAGUGUGAACAUAAUUAACUAAGCAAACUAUUUUAAAUAAUUGAAAGGAAAAGCAUAACUACCAAGUUUACCUCUUGACAAGGCGUUCGGUGUUUUUAAGUCCUCCGAACGGGACUCUUUGUUUUCUAGUCGUCGCGGGAUUCGCUGGAUGGCGUAGUCGGUGGUUCCGGCGGCGCCUCCUCUUCAUGUAUAACUAUCUUCUCUCUCCACACCUGACUCGGUGCUACGGUCUCCUUAGGACAGUUCUGUUCAAGCUGUAUGUCUUCAGACCUUACCACUUCUCCUUCGUAGUCUGCCCAUCCGUCCUUGAUGAUUUGCCUCCUAUGGUUGCGGUUGUGUCGUCUUCUUCUUGUCCUGACCUGCUUAGAGUCUUCAACUAUAUUGUUAGGGUCAGUAAAAUAGCGGCGUACCUUCUCAGAGGGGAAGUGCAUGUGGACUUCUCCGGUUCCAAUGUAGAUGAUUGCUUUAACAGUGCUGAGGAAUGGUCUCCCAAGGAUGAUGGGUGGAUCGUAGUCGUCUUCUCCCAUGUCAAUAACCUGAAAGUCAAUAUGGACAAAAUGAUCGUCUAUUUUGACAGGAACAUAUGUUACUAUACCUUCAACCUUUCGGAAUGUCUGAUCUGCCAUCUAGAGCUGAAUGUAUAUCGGUUUUAGGGGCAUGGUUCCGAACAAGAGCCGAUAGGUGACUGCGGCCAUUAUGUUGACACCCGACCUGGUGUCGCAAAGUGUCUUGUAGAAGUUAAAUCCAUUAAUGGAGCAUUGGAUGCUUGGCAUACCUGGGUCGUCCUUCUUGGUUAGGAACGGUGACUUGAGUCGACGAUCUUGACCUCCGUGAACUGCAGUGACCAUCUUAGCUGACUCGGUCCACACUUGCUUGUUCUUGUUCCUCCUGUUGGUCCUCUUCCUUGGUUCAUGUCGGGAUUGUUCUGGGAUUUGUGUAGUCUUGUUCUUGAAGGAAAAUGUCUCCUUCCUCCCUUUGAUGUAAAAACUGAUCUUGGCAGCACUAGCAUAGAUGACAGCUCCCAAGGUGUUCAGGAAUGGCCUCCCUAAGAUGUCGGGUGCCCUCUCAUCAUUUCUGGUCUCUAUCACUACGAAGUCUGCUAGGGCGUACAAGGUACCAACUCGGACGCAGAGGUUCUUCAAUAUUCCCUUGGGGAAACUUAGCGUCCGAUCAACAAGCUGCAAACACAUGGUUGUUUCUAAUAAAGGAUAUGUAAAGAAUUUUUCAUAGAGUACCCUGGGCAUAAUGUUGACGCUGGAGCCAAAGUCGCAGAGUGCUUCUGGGAAGUCCACCAUGCCGAUGGAGAUCAGGAUGACGGGGCGUCCUGGAUCGCCUCUCAUGACCGGCAGAAGGUCAGUAGUAACUUCCACAAUGGGGUUACUCCAGUAGUUACCUAUAUCAAACAUGUCUACAAGAUUUGCAGAUUCUAAUCCUUCUGGUUGUGAUGGUAUACCGGGGUUAGUAGCAGGAACAGCAGCAGUUAUUUGAUUUAACUGAGAUUCAAUCAUUUUAUUAAAGCUAAUUUGAUUCUUGAUGGGAGAAGAGAAAUUAUCCAUUCUAUUAUUUAUAUUUUCUAGCAUUUUAUCAUUAGAUGCUAAUUUCUUAGAUAGGUUAUCCAUUAGCUUUCCUCGAUUAGACACUAACUCUCUCAGAGGUGGAAAAUAAUUAUUAUUCUUGUAAGAAUUAUUAUCUUGAUAAUUACCUGAGUAGUUAGGCCUCUUUUGAUUCCAACCUUGAUUUUGCUGAGGACGGUUGUAGUAAUUGUUGUUGUUGUUGUUGUUGUUGAUGUAGUUCAUGCCCUCAAGCAUCUCAGGGCAGUGAUUGCCUGAGUGUCCAGUAUCUCCACACUCCUCACAAGUCAUGUGAGAGUCGUAGAUGUACAUGACUUCUUUCUUCUCUCCAGCUCUAUCAUCGAGCUUCUUCAUGAGCAGGUCUAGCUUAGCAGACAGCAUGUCUACCUCCUUGAGCUGAUGCAUACCUCCACCUCUCUUGCGUGUCUGGGUCCUUUCUUCAUUCCAGCCUUGGUUGGACGCCAUCUUCUCCACAAGAGCUGUGGCUUCUGAUAUGGUGAGGGAUAAGAAUACUCCUCCAGCUGCAGCAUCCAUGGUCUCUCGGGCACUAUUGCCGAGCCCAUGAUAAAAUGUCUACAUCAGUAGCCAGCUCUCCAUUCCAUGAUGGGGACAUUCUAGGAUGUAGUCUUGGAAGCACUCCCAUGCUUCUGGAAUGGAUUCAUCAUGCUGUUGUUGAAAACUUGUAAGUUUCCCACGGAGAGCAUUGGUCUUGCCCAUGGGAAAGAACUUAGCCAGAAAGUCCAUGGAGCAGAGUGCCCACGUAGUAUUCUUCUCCUUUGUAGCGUAGAACCACUGCUUCGCUCUCCCCAACAGUGAGAAUAGGAAGAGGCGAAGUAGUAUAGCAUGUCUGGGGACUCCUGAUAUGGUGAAUGUGCUGCAAAUCUCUAGAAAGUGUUGGAGAUGAGAACUAGCAUCUUCGUGUGUCUUCCCACAGAACUGGUUGGCUUGCACCAAGUUGAUGAGUCCAGGCUUGAGCUCAAAGUUGUCGUCGAUCUCUGCAGCAGGUCCAGUGCGGAUGUUGUCCAUAGUGGGAGCUGAGAACUCGCGGAUCGAUUUGUUCGCCAUAACUUCGAACUCUAAAGACAAGUUCUGGGUGAAACUUCGGUGAUCUACUUGAUUGGAUGAAGCUUUGUGCUGAAGUGUUGACGAUCUCUUCUUGAGCUUGGCUCUUGUUUUUGUGAAUAAUGCUUCGGGAUUGUCAACAAAAUUUCCUGGAAGAUGUCUUCUAUUCAUACAUUACCCUGCAUAAAAUAAUCGAAAUAGAAAAAUACAGGGGUAAAACUGUAUGAGAGAAUUAAUAAUCUCAAUCAUAUUAGUGAUGCGAAUGAUGACUCAAAAUUCCGUAUUCAUUCCUUAUUAGUAAUCAACCUUCCCCGGCAACGGCGCCAAAAAUGCUUGUUGGGCAUUCUUAACGUCAUUACCAAAAGUAGACUUAGUUUUCUAAUUCUGAUAAUGGUGCCAAAAAUGUCGAACCUAUCCCUCAUGCCACUUAAGCUAAGUUGUCAUCCCCAGCAUGACAUGAGAGACGCGUUAUUGAAAUAUGCAAUUGCUCUUCUGAAUGAAUAAUAAAUGAGAUCUGCAAGCGCACAGAUUAAUACCGAUGUAGCAUUUUAACCGAGAAGUAUUCCAGGUAUCUUUAUUUAUAUUUUUACCACUGGGAAGGGAUUGCUAAUCAUCAAUGUUGAUUAUGGAAUGAAAUAUGGAAUUGAGUAUCUAUCAUUGCAUGUAUAAUAGAGAGCAUUUAUCUAUCUCUUUCAUACAGGGAUGUCGACGAAAGCUGGUCGGCAGUCUACCUUGGGGUAUACCCGCGGUAGUAGUUUAUCGGUAGACGGUGCGCAAACUACGAACUCGAUGGUGACGCAAGACACGGACAAGCUUUUUAUCCAGGUUCGGCCGCCGAGUUGGCGUAAUACCUACGUCCUGCGUCUGGUUGUAUUGGAUUGUGUUGAGAGAUCAUCUGUAUGACUUAUCCUAGGGACCCCUGCCCCUCCUUAUAUAUCCUGAAGGGACAGAGUUACAAGCAAAGUAUCCUAUUUGGUACAAAAUCUUGUAGCCUUGCGGUGCACGCCGACCAGUCGUGCGCCGCACGUCUUCAUCUUGUGGGCCGAGCCACCUCUGAUGGUGCGGCCCAUAUAGGCCCAUGAGGGUAUAGGGGUUUAUACCCCCACAGCUAGUCCCCGAGCACCAUGUAUUGUGAUGUAACACGUCGUCUUGAGCUUCUUCGAUCAGCGAGGCUUGACGUCUUCAAUAAACAGGAAAGUCGCCCAAACAGUUGCAACGGUAUUUUGACCAACUCAAAAGACAGUUGAUCAACAUUGACAUCAAAGAAGCAGGUUGUUCGAAGAAUGCAUGGUGCUCCAAAUUAAAAAAGAUUUCUUUCCUGGUGAAGUGUGCCCACUUUACUUUUCUGAAAAGUAUAGUCUUUCAAAAAGCAAGCACAUUCACCGCAAGGUGAAGUGUGCCCACUUAGUCCCCGAGCCUGGUAGUAGGUGACGUAGGCACGUGGUGCUAGGGUCAAAAGAAAAGUCCUCAAAGAAAUUCUGAAACUGAGAUGCAUCGCCAGAUGCAUCGUACCGAUGUAGUCCCCGAGCUUGCUGGAAGGCGAAGUAUGAGCCUUGUAGCAAGGUCUAAAAAAUUGAAUUUACCAGUCCCCGAGCAUAUCAUGCUCGUAUGCAAUUGAAUAGGCUAAUCGACCAGUCCCCGAGCAUAGAACGCUCGGUGGUCGGUACAGUCCCCGAAUUCUCAAAUUGGUGGGCUGGUCGACCAGUUCCCGAGCGUAUAGUGCUCGGUGGUCGGUGCAGUCCCCAAGCUCUUAAAUUGGUGAGCUAGUCGACCAGUCCCCGAGCGUAUAGUGCUCGGUGGUCGGCACAGUCCCCGAGCACGUCGUAGGGACCGGUGGACAAGUCCCCGAGCGUGGUUGGGAACGUAAACGUGCUCGGUGGUCGGCACAGUCUUCGAGCAUAGCAUAGAGAGUAGUCGACAAGUCCCCGAGCGUGGUUGGGAACGUAAACGUGCUCGGUGGUCGGAGCAGUCCCCGGGCACAGCGUAGGGAAUAGUCGACGAGUCCCCGAGCGUAGCUUGUCGACUGGGCCAAACUCCUGAAAAAUAAAUAUAGAGAAAAUAGGUAGUACAUGAUGUAUAAAUAAACUCUAGAUAAAAAAUCAGCACUGAGAUAAGUUUUAGACUUUUUAUUAUAAAAUUAGCACGAGUAGUUAAUUCAUCCUAGAGCUUGUACCAGCUCUGGUCUAGCCAACAAUCAGCAUGAGGUGCGGAACCUAGACACGCGUGGGAUUGCCAGCCUCGCCAGAGAGCUACUGCCGACCACCCGGAACGCAGAGGGCGGAUCUCGUGCACGUGUAGGGAGGAGUCGGAGACAGUACCGGCUCUGGAAAGCUCGUGUAGGAGAAAAAACUAGUGUGGCUAAACAAAAAGUUGUUUUUGAAGGAUAAUAAAAAAUAUUAUGCCAAAAAUAAAUAAGAUAUUAGAAGUGUACUUAUCUUUGGAUGAAAGUCUGGUCGGUAACGAUAAAAUUGUCUGGCCCUCGAGCUUUUGGACGUGUUAUCGUGACGGUGGUCGCGGUUGUCGUAGCGCCGUUCUUCGCGGCGAUUAUUAUUGCGACUGGUGGUCAGAGCAAGUAGGCCAAACAACUUGGUCGUUAGCCCGAGCAGAUCGAUGUCGUCGAUCUGCCUCUCUUUGUAGUAGGGAAGCAGGUGACGCAUUGUCGGCGUGGUCGGAGACGCUGCUGGUGUGGUCGAAACCGUAGCCAGCGUGGUUGAAGCCGCCGCCGACGUCGAUGAAGAAGUGGUUGGCGCAGAUCGGAUCUACACCUCCUCCGUGGUCAUGGCGGUGAAGUUGUUGAGGCUGACGGUGAACGUGAAGUCGCCCGCCAUGGCCGCGAAGUCGGGGAUGAUGGCCAUCUUGUUCGUCGGGAGAGCUGUACGCACACCCCCUACCUGGCGCGCCACUGUCGACGAAAGCUGGUCGGCAGUCUACCUUGGGGUAUACCCGCGGUAGUAGUUUAUCGGUAGACGGUGCGCAAACUACGAACUCGAUGGUGACGCAAGACACGGACAAGCUUUUUAUCCAGGUUCGGCCGCCGAGUUGGCAUAAUACCUACGUCCUGCGUCUGGUUGUAUUGGAUUGUGUUGAGAGAUCAUCUGUAUGACUUAUCCUAGGGACCCCUGCCCCUCCUUAUAUAUCCUGAAGGGACAGAGUUACAAGCAAAGUAUCCUAUUUGGUACAAAAUCUUGUAGCCUUGCGGUGCACGCCGACCAGUCGUGCGCCGCACGUCUUCAUCUUGUGGGCCGAGCCACCUCUGAUGGUGCGGCCCAUAUAGGCCCAUGAGGGUAUAGGGGUUUAUACCCCCACAAGGGAUAAAUGUCAUAUAAAAUACAGAUAAAGUAUGAAUGGUGACAAAGAUAAUUAAUCUGAUCAGCAUAACUAGCCACAUCUAAUAAUGAUAAGCACCUCAAAAGAUAUUUUAGCAAGUCAUUAUCAUGGAAUUAGGAUGAACUACAAGAAUAUUUCCUAAGUUAUUCUUAACUAUAAAGUCUAGCAUAUCAUAGUUAGUGCAAUUAUACUUGGCAAUCAUUGCGAGACAGGACUACGCCCAUGCAUAGUGAUAUUUAUCAAGGAAGAUGAGAAACAUAGCAAUCACUCCCCUAUAAUAAUGUUGUUCCGCCUGCCCUAUACAUGAGAGGGGGACUAUAUAAGAAUCAAUGGAGCUGUCACUACCACGAACUACCCCGCAGAUAAAUACGGUAUAGGCACCACGCCUACACAAUACUUAUCAUUUACCCACUGUACACAUAGAUAAACGCUAUACGAUCCUAAACAUGUAUAUAAUUCCAAUCUAACUAAACCAAGCAUAUAACUAUGAUAAACUAAGAACAAUAUAAUUGCAAAUAUAAACAAGUAGAGCAAAGUCAUAAUCAAUAUAUUGAAGUAGAACAAAGUCAUAUUCACAAUAUUGAAGAACAAUGAUGAACAAAUGAAGAACAGUAGAGGAAUUACCAAGAAUCCUCUUGACAGAUCCGGAAACCAAUCGAAGAUUCACUCCUUCUAGUUCUAAUCCUAUGUAGCUAUGCUAAACUAGAGAUCUAGUUGAUGUGGUGGCUCUGGGGCUUGAUUAGAGACUUCUUCUCCUGAGAUGAAUGAAUUAGGGUUUCCCAGAGGUCCUCUCCUCCAGGGGCCAGGGGGUCUGCUUAUAUAGUACCUCCAAAUGAAUAUGGACCGUCGGAUCAAACCGACCUUAAUCGCACGGUUUUCCUUAAUCUCUUAGGUCGGUGGAGCAUGAUCCGCGAGGCGGAGCCUGAUUGGCUCUUAGGCUAGGGCGAGCGCCCAAGGGGGGAGGGCGGGCGCCCUGCCCCCGGGCCCGUUUGGCCUCCCGCUUGUUCCCAUGGCUUCUGGACUCUUCUAGAUGUUGGAUAAUUGUGCGGUACGUUAAUAUCUCUAUGUAAACCCGAUGUGUGGGUCUUUCCUCGCUAUUUCCUGAUAACCCCCUGCAGAAAUAGACAAACACCAAAACUCGUGGAAUUCUAUCAGAUAAAACCCUAAGUCUUGGAGUUGGUUAUUUUUGGAUCCUUUUCUCUAUUUAUUUGUUGAUUAUAUUUGAUAGUUAAGGACCGUCAACAGUGUUCGAGCGAUGUAAUCGAACUUUGUUGGACAUGGUUCGAUCUAUGAUGAGCCAGUCAGACCUACCUUUAUCAUUUUGGGGAUACGCUCUAGAAACAGCCGCUUUCACUUUAAACAGGGUACCAUCUAAGUCUAUAGUUAAGACACCAUAUAAGAUGUGGACUGGUAAGUGUCCCAGUUCGUCUUUUCUAAAAAUUUGGGGUUGUGAAGUUUAUGUCAAACGACUUAUAUAAGAUUGUCAAACGACUUAUAUAAGAUAAACUAACACCCAAGUCAGACAAGUGUUUUUCAUGGGAUACCCAAAGGAAACUUUAGGGUAUUAUGUCUAUAACCGGACAGAGGGCAAAGUGUUUGUUACUCGAAACAGUGUUUUCUUAGAGAAAGAGUUUCUCAAAAGGGAGAAAAAUGGACAUAAGGUUUAUCUUAAAGAAGUUCAAGAUAAACCAGUUGGGAAUGACUCUACGAGCGAUGCUAAUGUAGCAGAACAAGUUGAGACGCCUGUGGUAGUAGAAACACCAACACAACCACGAAGAUCAGCAAGACUUCACGAAUUGCGGGGGGAAUUGUUAUUGUUAGACGAUGACGAACUUGCAAAUUAUGCAGAAGUAAUGAUGGACCCAGAUUCUGAGAAAUGGCAAAGUGUCAUGAGAUCCGAGAUAGAUUCCAUGGGAGACAAUCAAGUUUGGAACUUGGUUGAUCCGCUUAAUGGGGUUAGACCCAUGGAGUGUAAAUGGAUCUAUAAAAACAAAAAGGAUAUGGAUGGAAAUGUUUGUUGACGGUCCUUAAGUAUCAAAUUUAAUCAGCAAAUAAAUAAAGAAAAUGAUCCAAAUGAAAUCAAUAUCCAGACUUAGGGUUUUAUCUGACAGAAUUCCACGAGUUUUGGUGUUUGUCUAUUUCUGUAGGGGGUUAUCAGGAAUUAUGGAAGAAAGGCCCACACGUCGGGAUUACAUAGAGAUAUUAACGUGUCACGCAAUUUUCUAUCAUCUAGAAGACUCCAGAAGCCAAGGGAGCGAACAGGAAGGCGAUCGAGCCCGGGGGCAGGGCGCCCGCCCUCCCCCCUAGGGCGCCCGCCCUGUUCUGUUCACCAAUCACAGCCAACUUCACGGAUUACGCUCCACCGACCUAAAGGAUCAAGGAUAACCGUUCAAUCAAUGUCGGUUUGAUCCAACGGCCCAUAUUCACUUGGAAGGACUAUAUAACCAUACCCCCUAGCCCCUGGAGGAGAGCACCUCUCAACCCUAAUUCAUUAUUCAUCAGGGAGAAGAAGCCUCUGAUCAAGCCCUAGAGCCACCACAUCAAUUACAUCUCUAGAUUAGCAUAGCUACAUAGGAUUAGAACUAGAAGGAGUCAAUCUUCGAUUGGUUUCCGGAUCUGUCAAGAGGAUUCUUGGUAAUUCUCUAUUGUUCUUCAAUUGUUCUUCGAUAUUAUGAAUAUGACUUUGUUCUAUUUCAAAAUAUUGAUUAUAACUUUGCUCUACUUGUUUAUAUUCGCAAUUAUAUUGUUCUUAGUUUAUCAUAGUAAUAUACUUGGCUUAGUUAGAUUGGAAUUUUAUACAUGUUUAGGAUCGUAUAGCGUUUAUCCCUCGGAUCCAUGGGUAAAUGAUAGAUAUUGUGUAGGCAUGGUGCUUAUACUGUAUUUAUCUGCGAUUGUACCCUAUAUGCCAGAUCGCGGGGUAGUUCGUGGUAGUGACAGCUCCAUUGAUUCUUAUAUAGUCCCCCUCUCGUGUAUAGGGCUGGUAGAGCAACAUUAUUACAGGGGAGUGAUUGCGAUGUUUCUCAUAUUCCUUGAUAAUAUCACUAUGCAUGGGUGUAGUCUUGUCUCACAAUGAUUGCUAAGUAUAAUUGCACUAACUAUGAUAUGCUAGACUGUAUAGUUAAGAAUAACUUAGGAAAUAUUCUUGUAGUUUGUCCUAAUUCCAUGCUAAUGUCUUACUAGAAUAUCUAAUUGAGGUGCUUAUCAUAUUUAUAUGUGGCUAAGUUAUGCUGAUCAGAUUAAUUAUCUUUGUCACUAUUCAUUACUUUAUAUAUAUCCUUUAUGUGAUACUUAUUCCUGUAUGAAAGAGAUAGAUAGAUGCUCUCAAUUAUACAUGCAAUGAUAGAUACUCAAUUCUAUAUUUCAUUCUAUAAUCAACAUUGGUGGUUACUAAUCCCUUCCCAGUGGUAAAAAUAUAAAUAACGAUACCUGGAAUACUUCCCGGUUAAAAUGCUACAUCGAUAUUAAUCUGUGCGCUUGCAGAUCCCAUUUGAUUAUUUAUUUAGAAGAGCAAUUGCAUAUUUCAAUACCGCGUUUCUUAUGUCAUGCUGGGGAUGACAACUUGGCUCAAGUGGCCUGAGGGAUAGGCUUGGUAUUUUUGGCGCCGUUAUCAGAAUUAGAAAACUAAGUCUACUUUUGGUAGUGACGUUAAGAAUGCCCAACAAGCAUUUUUGGCGCCGUUGCCGAGGAAGGUUGAUUACUAAUCAGGAAUGAAUAUAGAAUUUUGAGUCAUCAUUCGCAUCACUAAUAUGAUUGAGAUUAUCAAUUCUCUCAUACAGUUUUACCCUGAUAUUUUUCUAUUUUAUCUUAUGUAGGGUAAUGUAUGAAUAUAAGACAUCUUCCAGGAAAUUUUGUUGACAAUCCUGAAGCGUUAUUCAGAAAAACAAGAGCCAAGCUCAAGAAGAGAUCAUCAACACUUCAGCAUGAAGCUUCAUCCAAACAAGAAGAUCACCGAAGUUUCACCCGAAACGUGUCUUCCGAAUUCGAAGCCAUGGCGAACAAAUCAAUCCGUGAGUUCUCAGCUACCACUACGGACAACAUCCGCACUGGACCUGCUGCAGAGAUCGAUAGUAAUUUUGAACUCAAGCCUAGAAUUAUCAACAUGGUGCAAUCCAACCAGUUCUGUGGGAAGGCACAUGAAGAUGCUUGUGCUCAUCUCCAACACUUUCUGGAGAUUUGCAGCACAUUCACCAUAUCAGGAGUCCCCAAAGAUGCUAUAAUACUUCGCCUCUUCCCAUUCUCACUGUUAGGGAGAGCGAAGCAGUGGUUCUACGCUACAAAGGAGAAGAAUACUACGUGGGCACACUGCUCCACGAACUUUCUGGCUAAAUUCUUUCCCAUGGGCAAGACCAAUGCUCUCCGUGGAAAAAUUAUAAGUUUUCAGCAACAACAUGAUGAAUUCGUUCCAGAAGCAUGGGAGCGCUUCCAAGACUACAUCCUAGAAUGUUCCCAUCAUGGAAUGGAGAGCUGGCUACUGAUGCAUACGUUUUAUCAUGGGCUCGGAAACAGUGCCCGAGAAACCAUGGAUGCUGCAGCUGGAGAAGCAUUCCUAUCACUCACCAUACCACAAGCCACAGCUCUUGUGGAGAAGAUGGCAUCCAACCAAGGCGGGAAUGAAGAAAGGACCCAGACACACAAGAAAGGUGGAGGUAUGCAUCAUCUCAUGGAGGUAGACAUGCUGUCUACAAAGCUAGACUUGCUCAUGACGAAGCUCAAUGAUAGAGCUGGAGAUAAGAAAGAAGUUAUGCACAUCUACGACUCUCACAUGACUUGUGAGGAGUGUGGAGAUACUGGACACUCAGGCAAUCACUGCCCUGAGAUGCUUGAGGAUGUGAACUACAUCAACAACUACUACUACUACUACUACUGUCCUCAACAAAAUCAAGGUUGGAAUCAACAAAGGCCUAACUACUCAGGUAAUUAUCAAGGUAACAGUUCUUACAAUAAUAAUAAUAAAAAUUUUCCACCUCUGAGAGAGUUAGUGUCUAAUCAAGAAAAGCUAAUGGAUAACCUAUCUAAGAAAUUGGCAUCUAAUGAUAAAAUGCUAGAAAAUAUAAAUAAUAGAAUGGAUAAUUUCUCUACUGCCAUCAAGAAUCAAAUUAGCUUUAAUAAAAUGAUUGAAUCUCAGCUAAAUCAAAUAGCUGCUGUUGUUCCUGCUACUAACCCCGGUACACCAUCACAACCGGAAGGAUUAGAAUCUGCAAAUCUUGUAGACAUGUUUGAUGCAGGUAACUACUGGAGUAACCCCGUCACUGAAGUUACUAUUGACCUUCUGCCGGUCAAGAGAGGCGAUCCAGGACGCCCCGUCAUCCCGAUCUCCAUCGGCAUGGUGGACUUCUCAGAAGCAAUCUGCAACUUUGGCUCCAGCGUCAAUAUUAUGCCUAGGGUACUCUAUGAAAAAAUCUUUACAUAUCCUUUAUUUAGAAACAAUCAUGUGUUUGCAGUUUGCAGAUCAGGCGUUAAGUUUCCCAAAGAGAAUAUUCAAGAACCUCUGCGUCUGAGUUGGUAUCUUGUAUGCCCCAGCAGCAGACUUCGUGGUGAUAGAGACCGGAAAUGAUGAGAGGGCACCUGUCAUCUUAGGGAGGUCAUUCUUAAACACCUCGGGAGCUGUCAUCUAUGCUAGUGCUGCCAAGAUCAGUUUCUACAUCAAAGGGAGGAACGAGACGUUUUCCUUCAAGAAUAAGACUACACAAAUCCCAGAGCAAUCUCGAUAUGAACCAAGGAAGAGGACCAACAGGAGGAACAGGAACAAGCAAGUGUGGACCGAGUCAGCUAAGAUGCUCACUGCAGUUCAUGAAGGUCAAGAUCAUCAACUUAAGUCACCAUUUCUGACCAAGAAGGACGACCUAGGAAUGCCAAGCAUCUAUUGCUCCAUAAAUGGAUACAACUUUUACAAGACGUUUUGCGACACAGGAUCGGGCGUUAACAUAAUGUCUGCAGUCACCUAUCGGCUCUUGUUCAGAACCAUGCCCCUAAAAUAAACAUACAUUCAGCUCCAGAUAGCAGAUCAGACAUUUCGAGAGGUUAAAGGUAUAGUAACUGAUGUCCCUGUCAAAAUAGACGAUCAUUUUGUCUACACAGACUUUCAGGUUAUUGACAUGGGAGAAGACGAAUAUGAUCCACCCGUCAUCCUUGGAAGACCGUUCCUCAGCACCGUUAAAGCAAUCAUCUACAUUGGAACUGGAGAAGUCCAUAUGCACUUCCCCUCAGAGAAGGUACGCCGCUAUUUUACUGACCCUAACUAUAUAGUUGAAGACUCUAAGCAGGUCAGGACAAGAAGAAGACGACGCAACCGCAACCAGAGGAGGGAAAUCAUCAAGGACGGAUGGGCAGACUAUGAAGGAGAAGUGAUAAGAUCUAAAGACAUACAGCUUGAACAAGAUUAUCUUGAGGAGACCGUAGCACCGAGUCAGGUGUGGAGAGAGAAGAUAACUAUACAUGAAGAAGAGGCGCCGCCGGAAGCACCGACUACGCCACUCAACGAACCCCAGGACGACUAAGAAAACAGAGAGUCCAGUUCGGAGGACUUAAAAACACCAAAUGCCUUGCCAAGAGGUAAACUUGGUAGUUAUCCUUUUCCUUUCAAUUAUUUAAACUAGUUUACUUAGUUAAUCAGGUUCAUAUCAUUUUAAAAAGAAAAUAAAAAUGUUAAAAAAAUAGUAAGCCCCAUGUGAGUAUACGAGUGGCAUAAAACCCACUUCACUGUGGUGGCAUAAAAAUAAAAUAAAUAGUUCUUUUCUGCUUUAUAAAAUAAAAAUAUAAAAAUAGAGAGUAACACUUAUUAAGGAGGCUCAACAUGAUAAAGGCUAGAUAUUUAUGCUAACACCUAAUCAGUUCCACAAAGCUUUGUUGUCUAUUUGAGCUCCACAGAAUUUAAGGAUCAAGAAGACUGGCAGACGUAGGACAUUCUAAUCGCUGUCAGGAUACUGCCGACUUUCAAAUACACCUCUGCCACCUGCUAGCUACAUCACAAGAAAUCACGUCAAAAUUCAGCUUGGGGGAGAGCACCCCCAUUUAUCCCGCUAAGUAUUUCUAUCUAUCUUUAUACUCAUACUAUAUUAAAAUAUAAAUAUACAUAACUAUGAAAAACCAAAUAAAUAUUUUGUGCUUAUAUAAAUAUAUAUCUUUUGCUUAGUGUGCUUAAUAAAUAAAUAAAGUCGCUAUGCUAAACUGAAUCUUAAUAAUAAAACUCUAGCAUGGAUAUGAUGAAUAAUUUCUCUGCCUAAUUUUCAAAUUUGAGUUCUCUCUCUAGUUUAGACAUAACUGUUAUAAUUUAAAGCUUGCUCUAAACCUGAACUUGUGGGAAGAGAACUUGAUCUGAAGUCUAAGUUGUUAACGAAUAUGAUAUGGGAAGGUUGAGCUGUUGUUUAUCUGUUCCUAGAGAUGCUAGAAUUCUAGAGAAUUUUAUCUUUGAAAAUGUUUAACACGUGAUGAGUUCCUGUAUGAUGAGAGUAUAAAUUCCUACCACAGCCAUAUAUACAUGCUUGCUAGACUUUGAGCCACACAUUUACUUUUUACUGCUUAUUAGCAUUGAGUGUGGUCAAGCUGUGUAGACCCUUAGGAGCUUGUCAUGUGGUUAAAAUCAAGAUUCACUUGCACGUUCACUCACACAUGCUGCUUCUACUUCGAAAGUACGCAUCCACAUAUAUCCACUCAUUUCCAUCUCCAGAGCCACUCAAAAGUAUUCUACUCCUAAUCUGGGAGAGAAUAGCCAAAAACAUUUCUGUUUUCCCCUAUAAAAUAAAUGCUCAAGUUAUCUUGGUUACUACCACAUGCUAAAUUAUUUCAAGAGAUGAGUGCUCUAAAAAAAGAAGAAAAAAUAAACACGAGGAAAUAAAAAUGGGCAAGUGCCCGGAACCUCGUAAGAAAAGAAAAAAGUGAGACGAGAGGUAAAAAUGGACAAGUGUCCGACAGUAGAAUUAGGGGUACAAGAUACCCACCUGAGAGAAAAGAAAAAGAAAAUGUAGAUCAUCUCAUUCUCCUCAAAAAGUUUCAAAAGAGCAAGAAAGGUAUGUAUCCCCUCAAGAGAGCAAAAGUAGAAUUAGACUUUCACCAUUGUUAUCACCAUCAUCACCAUACACCAUUCAUUCGCCACACAUGCACAUCUUGAUUUGACUUAUUGACUUGUUUCUUUGGAUCUAUGGUUUGACUAUACAAUAAAUGUAUUGUAAGUAUGUAUACUUUAUCUCCCACCUAUGAGCUCCAGAUAUCAAAAGCCUUAUUAGAGUAGGGUGAGAGAGAAGGCAAUGUCAAUAUGCCUUAUACCACAGAUACUACAUAUUUUGAGAGAAGGCAUCUACCAUCACUGCCUUGGUAAGGAUCCAGAAAUACCACAAAAGAGAGAUCUGAGAGAGUCAUACAAAGAAUCUCUGAGUUUUAUUUGAAAAUCUAUAAAAAACUGCAGGGCUAUAGCUGAUCAAGAAUAAGAGACAUGGCACUUGAUUAGACCGUUCUAUCUUUUAACUACUCAAGACAGAAGUGACGGUUACAAGUCCCAUGGUAAAAGGUAAAAUGAAUAAGUUUUACAUCUUGACAGUUUACUCUAACUCAGAGAUAAGAUCUCAUUUGAAAGCAUGUGUACCGUCAAUUUUCAAAGGUAUUUCAGCAACUUCUGAUCCAUCGCUGAGAUUAUCCUUGCUCAGGGACGAGCAAGAGGUAAGCUUAGGGGAGUUUGUUGACGGUCCUUAAGUAUCAAAUUUAAUCAGCAAAUAAAUAAAGAAAAGGAUCCAAAUGAAAUCAAUAUCCAGACUUAGGGUUUUAUCUGACAGAAUUCCACGAGUUUUGGUGUUUGUCUAUUUCUGCAGGGGGUUAUCAGGAAUUAUAGAAGAAAGGCCCACAGUCAGGAUUACAUAGAGAUAUUAACGUGCCGCGUAAUUUUCUAUCAUCUAGAAGACUCCAGAAGCCACGGGAACGAACGGGAAGGCGAUCGGGCCCGGGGCAGGGCGCCCGCUGUUGGGUAUUCUUAACAUCAUUACCAAAAGUAGACUAAGUUCUCUAAAUCUAGCAACGGUGCCAAAAAUGCCAAACCUAUCCCUUACACCACUUAAGCCAAGUUGUCAUCCCCAGCAUGAUAUAAGAGACGCGGUAUUGAAAUAUGCAAUUUCUCUUCUAAAUAAAUAAUGAAUGGGAUCUGCAAGCGCACAAAUUAAUACCGAUGCAGCAUUUUAACCGGGAAGUAUUCCAGGUAUCGUUAUUUAUAUUUUUACCACUGGGAAGGGAUUAAUCAAUCAUCAAUAUUGAUUACAGAAUAGCAUAUGAGAUUGAGCAUCUAUCAUUGCAUGUAUAAUUGAGAACAUUAUAUCUAACUCUUCAUACAGGGAUAAGUGUCACAUAAAAGAUAUAUGAAAUAAUAAUAGUGACAAGGAUAACUAAUCUGAUCUAGCCAC
Molecule: long non-coding RNA, 29534 nt
Filed under: Sorghum bicolor (sorghum)
Lineage: Eukaryota; Viridiplantae; Streptophyta; Magnoliopsida; Poales; Poaceae
Description: long non-coding RNA (SBIC_LNC002377)
Rfam family: Plant small nucleolar RNA R71 (bases 16358-16464)
Source: RNAcentral